CCUACGGGGGGCAGCAGUGGGGGAUAUUGCACAAUGGGGGAAACCCUGAUGCAGCGACGCCGCGUGGGCGAAGAAGUAUUUCGGUAUGUAAAGCCCUAUCUGCAGGGAAGAAGAAAUGACGGUACCUGAGUAAGAAGCACCGGCUAAAUACGUGCCAGCAGCCGCGGUAAUACGUAUGGUGCAAGCGUUAUCCGGAUUUACUGGGUGUAAAGGGAGCGCAGGCGGCACGGCAAGCCUGAUGUGAAAGCCCGCGGCCCAAGCGCGGGACUGCAUUGGGAACUACCGGGCUGGAGUGCCGGAGAGGUAGGCGGAAUUCCUAGUGUAGCGGUGAAAUGCGUAGAUAUUAGGAGGAACACCAGUGGCGAAGGCGACUUUCUGGACUGUACCUGACGCUGAGGCGCGAAAGCGUGGGUAGCGAACGGGAUUAGAUACCCUAGUAGUC
This 442-nucleotide ribosomal RNA is filed under the name uncultured bacterium. Its description in RNAcentral is "partial 16S ribosomal RNA". It matches the Rfam family "Bacterial small subunit ribosomal RNA", at positions 338 to 795 of the family's 1533-position model. The record is from RNAcentral.